AGUAGUCUAGAGUCCAAGUUAUAUGAGCCCAAAUGUUUACUUGACCCACUUACCAUUUGUAGCUUAAUCCACUUUCCCCUUUUGGUAACCCUACCAUGUAUAGUAGGAAUAUACUAUACACGUUCAUGAAAUUGCAGCAGCCAAAAUAAUCCCUGCCUCUCGCCUUUCUUCGCUGGCUCUGUCUCCUCUCUUUGUUAAAACCGACAAGCAGCCACCAUGAACCCCAACCAAGCACCACUAACCUUCCAUCCCAUCCUCCGGUCGGAGUGUUAAGAAGCUCGCCGUGGCGUUCGGUCUUAGGCAGUAGCAAUGGUCUCUCCGGCGACGCCAUUUAGAUUCUGUAAGCUCACCCGACUUCUUCGGUUCAACCUUCGGCAGGCAACGAUUGCGGCUCGCUUCCUUCUCUGCUUCUCGGCCGUUCACCAACAACAACAACGGUGGUUUUCCGACGGUAGUAUUGGCAAGCGUGGGUUGAGCUCCAUCACCGGCCUCCGACUUCACCAACGCAAAGCAAUAGCAGUAGCUAUAGAUCUCUGUGCACCAUUUCCCCAUUUUUCCUCCCUCGUCGACGGUCACGACAGAACUAGGCGGUGACGGUUCCGGAAGGCAGCGACAACGAGCGGGCGUGGAGUAGACCUCCGUCCUCUCCCCGGCGGACCUUCCAGACUGGUUCGAGAAGCGGCACCGGUGUUUUCCUCCCCGGUCUUCGCCAUCUCCUUCGCGACGAAGCAGCGGAAUGUCAAGGCGGCAGUACGAACUUGCGGAGGAAGAUCGCGGUGGCCUCUCUUCCGUUCGCAGCAGGCAUGGCGCCCUCUGUUCUCCGCGGCGGCAGUGGGGCGAGGCGAUGGUAACCCACAAACAUUACCUUUUCAAUGGAAGCUGACGCCUCCCCUGUUUCUUGGCGAUGCAAGGCGGCGGGUAGAAGCGACGGUUUUUCCUUCGGCGAGUUGGAGCAACAGUGACAGCGGCGGAGCUCGGCAACGGAGGUCCUUCCUCCGUUCACAGCAAGAGUAGCAGAACGGUGCGGAGCACUGUGGCGGCAGAGUCUUGUCCGUCUUGGGAGGCCGGCAGAGCAGCAAAGAUCAAUAGCCAGUGGAUGCAAAACUGAUCACAACGGGGCGCUGCGGUCUAGUGGUGUGGUGCGUGGCUUGUGAGCUGGUUGGCGUGAGUUCAAACCUAGGAGUAAGCAGAAUGUUUUAAGGUAGUGUUUUGGUUUAUUAUUAAGUCUAAAGUUUUUGUAUUAGUUAUAAUAAUAUAGUUUAAGAUUAGAUUAAGUAUAAUUCUUAUGGUCAUAUUAUAUUAGUCUUGAGCAUGGAUUAUAGGAUUAUAGGUUAUAAGGGACCGAUUAGGAAUAUCAAUGUCGUUGUUAUUAAUAGUCUUAGUAACGGUAUUAGAUUAUAUUAAUUCUUCAGGUUCGUGAUUAUGAACCGAGCUUUGAGUUUGACGUUGCUUUGGAUUAAAAUGCUUUGGGUUAAUUACGCUUCAAAGGGUUGCCUUAAAGCCUUUGCGUGAGCGCGAUAGAGAUAUACCCGUAUGAGGAGGCUUAGAUAGUGGCUAUGUUUUUAGACUUAUGCUUUGGCCUGUGUGCCGCUUUGAGAAUUCUAUGUACUUUGGUUUAGUUGUUGGAUGUUUUGAGAUAUAUUUAAGGAUUAUCGUUUAUACAGUUCAGCUUUUAUGG
Ipomoea triloba (trilobed morning glory) is the source of this 1678-nucleotide long non-coding RNA. RefSeq lists it as uncharacterized. NCBI's taxonomy places the organism in Eukaryota, Viridiplantae, Streptophyta, Magnoliopsida, Solanales, Convolvulaceae. The record is from RefSeq and is a predicted model, not a curated record. The transcript has 2 exons.